This 460-nucleotide ribosomal RNA is filed under the name uncultured bacterium. RNAcentral's name for it is "partial 16S ribosomal RNA". It matches the Rfam family "Bacterial small subunit ribosomal RNA", at positions 338 to 795 of the family's 1533-position model. The record is from RNAcentral.
CCUACGGGAGGCAGCAGUGAGGAAUAUUGGUCAAUGGGCGUAAGCCUGAACCAGCCAAGUCGCGUGAGGGAUGAAGGUUCUAUGGAUCGUAAACCUCUUUUAUAAGGGAAUAAAGUGCGGGACGUGUCCCGUUUUGUAUGUACCUUAUGAAUAAGGAUCGGCUAACUCCGUGCCAGCAGCCGCGGUAAUACGGAGGAUCCGAGCGUUAUCCGGAUUUAUUGGGUUUAAAGGGUGCGUAGGCGGCCUUUUAAGUCAGCGGUGAAAGUCUGUGGCUCAACCAUAGAAUUGCCGUUGAAACUGGGAGGCUUGAGUAUGUUUGAGGCAGGUGGAAUGCGUGGUGUAGCGGUGAAAUGCUUAGAUAUCACGCAGAACCCCGAUUGCGAAGGCAGCCUACCAAGCCAUGACUGACGCUGAUGCACGAAAGCGUGGGGAUCAAACAGGAUUAGAUACCCUGGUAGUC